RNAcentral lists this small RNA (28 nucleotides) under Arabidopsis thaliana (thale cress). Its description in RNAcentral is "ATSL238530". Lineage: Eukaryota; Viridiplantae; Streptophyta; Magnoliopsida; Brassicales; Brassicaceae. The record is from RNAcentral.
AGGGGAACUCUGACAACAUGCUGAUUAA